Molecule: ribosomal RNA, 859 nt
Filed under: uncultured bacterium
Lineage: Bacteria
Description: bacterial SSU rRNA
Rfam family: Bacterial small subunit ribosomal RNA
Source: RNAcentral
GAAAGUCGAGCGGUCGAGAGAAGCUUGCUUCUCUUGAGAGCGGCCGACGGGUGAGUAAUGCCUAGAGAAUCUGCCUGGUAGUGGGGGAUAACGCUCGGAAACGGACGCUAAUACCGCAUACGUCCUACGGGAGAAAGCAGGGGACCUUCGGGCCUUGCGCUAUCAGAUGAGCCUAGGUCGGAUUAGCUAGUUGGUGAGGUAAUGGCUCACCAAGGCGACGAUCCGUAACUGGUCUGAGAGGAUGAUCAGUCACACUGGAACUGAGACACGGUCCAGACUCCUGCGGGAGGCAGCAGUGGGGAAUAUUGGACAAUGGGCGAAAGCCUGAUCCAGCCAUGCCGCGUGUGCUGAAGAAGGUCUUCGGAUUGUAAAGCACUUUAAGUUGGGAGGAAGGGCAUUAACCUAAUACGUUGGUGUCUUGACGUUAACCGAGCAGAUAAGCACCGGCUAACUCUGUGCCGGGCAGCCCGCGGUAAUACAGAGGGUGCAAGCGUUAAUCGGAAUUACUGGGGCCUAAAUGCGCGCGUAGUGUGGUUCGUUAAAGUUGGAUGUGAAAUCCCCGGGCUCAACCUGGGGAACCGCAUUCAAAAUCGGACGAGCUAGAGUAUGGUAGAGGGUGGUGGGAAUUUCCUGUGUAGCCGGUGGAAAUGCGUAGACUAUAGGAAGGAACCCCAGUGGCGAAGGCCGACCACCUGAGACUGAUACUGACACUGAGGUGCGAAAGCGUGGGGGAGGCAAACAGGGACUUAGAUGCCCCUGGUAGUCCCUGCCGUAUAAACUAUGUCAACUAGCCGGGGAAACCCUAUGAGCUUUUAGUGGCGCAGCUAGCGCAAAAGUUUUCCCCGGGAGUAGGAAAGGC